RNAcentral lists this non-coding RNA (75 nucleotides) under Eikenella corrodens. Its description in RNAcentral is "TPP riboswitch (THI element)". It matches the Rfam family "TPP riboswitch aptamer (THI element)", at positions 8 to 91 of the family's 105-position model. From Rfam's summary of the family: Vitamin B(1) in its active form thiamin pyrophosphate (TPP) is an essential coenzyme that is synthesised by coupling of pyrimidine and thiazole moieties in bacteria. The previously detected thiamin-regulatory element, thi box was extended, resulting in a new, highly conserved RNA secondary structure, the THI element, which is widely distributed in eubacteria and also occurs in some archaea. The record is from RNAcentral. Lineage: Bacteria; Pseudomonadati; Pseudomonadota; Betaproteobacteria; Neisseriales; Neisseriaceae.
AGUCGGGGUGCUGCCUUGCGCGGCUGAGAACAUACCCGUUGCACCUGAACCGGUUAAUGCCGGCGGAGGGAACUC